RNAcentral lists this ribosomal RNA (278 nucleotides) under uncultured bacterium. RNAcentral describes it as "partial 16S ribosomal RNA". It matches the Rfam family "Bacterial small subunit ribosomal RNA", at positions 28 to 302 of the family's 1533-position model. The record is from RNAcentral.
GACGAACGCUGGCGGCGUGCUUAACACAUGCAAGUCGAGCGGUAAGGCCCUUUCGGGGGUACGACGAGCGGCGAACGGGUGAGUAACACGUGGGUGGACCUCGCCCUCAGCUCUGGGAGUAAGCCUGGGAAACUGGGUCGUAAUACUGGAUAUGACUCCACGGUGCAUGUCGUGGGGUGGAAAGCCUUGUGCGGCUGAGGAUGGGCCCGCGGCCUAUCAGCUUGUUGGUGGGGUGAUGGCCUACCAAGGCGACGACGGGUAGCCGGCCUGAGAGGGCG